RNAcentral lists this long non-coding RNA (1433 nucleotides) under Bos indicus x Bos taurus (hybrid cattle). Its description in RNAcentral is "lncRNA (ENSBIXG00005016152.1)". Lineage: Eukaryota; Metazoa; Chordata; Mammalia; Artiodactyla; Bovidae. The record is from RNAcentral.
CUGGCCCUCAUACUCUUUGCCAGUUUUCACAGCUAGAGCCUCUUAACUCACACAGGUAGCUAACACCCGCACGCAGGUAGGAAGGAAUACAGGCCUCUCAGAGGUUCCGAGCAGCCUAACUUUAUGGCGGGUUUUAUGUGGGUAACAGAACUGAGCCUUUGCUCUGUUUUCCAGCUCCCUCACUUCAUCCCUUCCUGGAGUCCUUGCUGGACAUGCUGGUUUCUCUGGAACUAGGACGUUCGAUUCCCUUGCUCAGUGCUUUCCGGAGGCUGAAGAUGAGCAGAGUCCUCAACCCCAGGCUCCUUCUUUCUCAUGCUCUGACACUUCUGGCUUGGUGUUUUUCAUCUAUGAAGGUUUACAUUUCAAAUGAGGUGUGGAACAACUUGACUGGAAGGUUCUAAUGCCACCUACAUGCAUGAUGUAGAUCCAAGUAAGUCAACUAUAUUUUUUCCUGUUUAAACCUGUGUUGGGAGGUCUAUGGGCUUGCUCUGCAGAAUAUUCUAGGACCAGUGGCUUUCAGCAUGUUGGGGGAGCUAGUUAGAAGUACAGAGCCUCUGGCCCCACUUCAGAUGGACUGAGUUCGAGUCCACAUUGUAACAUGAGACCAUCUGACUGUCCAGUCCACUGGACACUGUACAUUGUGUAAUGUACAACGCACGUUGUAAAGAACUGAUGUGUGAAGUCACGACUCUGGGAUGAACUGCUGCCUCUUGAGAUGCUCCACCUUCUGAAUCACUACUUUUCCCAACUCCUUUAUUGCCGAUGAUGUAAAUGUUAGGUGAGUUGGGUGCAUUUCCCUCUGAGAGUGUGAACUCUGACCAACCACCCAGGAUGCUGCAGGACACAGUGUCUCUCUGUGAACAUUUCACAUUGGUUAUUUCUUGGGAAAACUCUUGCGUGAGGCCUUUUCAACUGUGUUAACACAUCACAGGAACAUUUCAUUUUGCUUUUGGUCAUGAUCUGAUAUGGGCUUGGAUGAUAGGCAGCCUGAGGGUGCAGGUUGGAUGAGAACCACUCAAGUUCAGCCAUCAGUUUGAGGCACUCAGUGCACUGCUGGCUGACAGGAGGUGACUCCAAACAACUCUCUCAGCAUUUAUGAUGGAGAAGGAGCUGCAGGUGCUUCAGGCUGGGUGAGCUGACUCCACCCCAGAGCGUCUGAGAUGGGUGGCCAGUAGUGCUGCUCUGGACGGUAACCAGUGAGUGGUCUUGCUGCCAGAAACUGUCCCUGAAGGGGCAGGGCUGGGCCAAUGACUGAUUCCAUACGUCAGGCCCACCCACUGCAGAGAGGGGGCCAAUAAGACACACAGAGUGUUGGAGCCUCAGACUGCCUACACCCAGGAUAGGGCUACAGCCCCCAAAGGAGGAGACAGCUCCAUUGACCUGGCACCCAGUUGGACAGGUCCUUUUUAAUAAAUGGUGCCAUAAAAAGAACA